AGGUGAUUGGCUGGGGAGUUGAGGGGGGCUGUAGUGUUAUGAGGGAAGGCCAAGAAAGCUGCAGAGCCUCAAACUAGAGCUGCAGAAUCACCAUCCCUGGAACCACCCCCCUCCCCGUAGAUUUCUCAUUUAAUGAGCUAACCACGUGUCUGUGCUAAGACACCGUGAGUCAGAUUUUUCUAAUACUUGCAGCCAAAGACAUUCCCAGCUGAGACGCCUUCUAGGUAUGGCUGAGGGGAGGACCAGAUGAGGUGAUAAUGCAUCCAGGGCACCUCUGCAGGACUGGCCCAUGUGAGAAUUCAAAAAUGUUGCUUUGUCUUAUUAUUUCUAUUUUUCUUACUGUGUAGGUUUUCUGUGUUUAUCAGGCUAAUAGGACAUCCAAUCCUCUGGCUAUGGCAUCUUGGAGGAACAGGCAGGUCUUGAAAAAUAGCAGAAAUUCCAAAUUCCCCUGCCCCGGGAGAACUGAAAGGACCUUGCUGAGGACAGAGCUGAUACGGCCUCGGAAUGAAGAUGAGGGAAGAUCAUUCCAAGGAAGAUCACCCCUCUAGCCCAUGGCGAAAGGGCUGGAAUACGCAAGGACUUGAAAAGCAAGUUUUGCUUUUCAUCUAAACCUAAGCAAGUUGCUUCAUCUGUGAACCUCAACUACUUUACUUUGUGCAAUGGGCAUGUUGCUGGUAGUGGUGAUAGCAGGGAGCUACCCGCAGAGCUUCCAGCUCUGGCCUGUAAGCCUUCCUCUGGGGAAGGGAAGCUCAUGUGUCAGCUGGACCCCCGGGCAAAUUUAUUCUCCCAGGGUCGAACAUUCAGACAUUUCCCUGUAGGAGCCUCAGUGUGUUCAGAUGUUCCCUGUCCAGUAGAAACAAGACAUCUAGGCAACUCUCCCAUCUCACCAAGCCUCUGUUCCCUUCCCUGGCCACUGUGGGGUUGUGAGAGUAAUGUCAAGACCCAACCCAAUUAGAACACAGGGAAUUUUGCCUGGGAAAGGGAGGCCUUCUACCCUGCACCACUGCUUUCUGUCUUCCAAGGAUCAACUCUGAUUCACGUCUGCAUCCUAAAAGCUACAAAUAAACUGUGUCGGGAAAGGAAAAUAUGCGUAUUGCCUUCCUCAAGGCUAAAAACCAGUCCCAACAGAGAGGGGCAGUUUUAAAUUUUUUUAUGUAACAAUAGCUCUAACUUUAGUUGGUAACUUAUGCCAUUUGAAACACUUUCUCAUAAUAAUUUAUUUAUUCCUCCCAAAGAACCUAUCAAAUGCAUAGUAUUAUUAUUCUGAAUUCACAGAUGGUGAAAUCGAGGUCCAGAAAGAGUCAGUUCACCCAAGGUCCCAUAGUACUUCCUUUGAUAAGCUAGAGCACGGGAAUUUGAUGUCUUCUUAGGACAAACUAACUUACUCCCUGGUGCUGCAAACACACCCUGGGCCUUCCCACCUCCACACCUUUGCUCAUGCUGUUUACCUGCCUGGAAGGCCUCUCUUUCUCCACCUCUUGGUUUUUCCAAAUCUGUUAUGAGCAGGUCCUCCAGGAGAGCCAAGAUGAGAAGAGUUAUACUAAAGGCUUAUUGAGGGAGUGCCAGGGAGUAAAAUGAAGAGGGAGCCAGAGGGGGCUGGGAGAAAAGGACAGAAAGAAGGAGGACAAAUGGAAGGAAGGGACAGAGGAAAGAAGGGACCGUGGGCUGCAGUGCACUCUUAGAAAGGUCAAGGCUGGCCGGGCACAGUGGCUCAUGUCUGUAAUCCCAGCACUUUGGGAGGCUGAGGUGGGUGGAUCACUUCAGGUCAGAAGUUCAAGACCAGCCUGGCCAACAUGGUGAAAACCCUGUCUCUAUUAAAAAUACAAAAAAUUAGCCAGGCAUGGUGGCCGACACCUAUAAUCCCAGCUACUCGGGAGGCUGAGGCAGGAGAAUUGCUUGAACCCAGGAGGCAGAGGUUGCAGGGUGCCGAGACCGCACCACUGCACUCCAGAGUGGGUGAAAGAGCGACUCUGUCUCAAAAAAAAAAAAAAAAAAAAAAAAAA
Macaca fascicularis (crab-eating macaque) is the source of this 2003-nucleotide long non-coding RNA. The record is from Ensembl. Lineage: Eukaryota; Metazoa; Chordata; Mammalia; Primates; Cercopithecidae.